UUAAAUAUAUUUUUCUAGUAUAUUUAUAGGUAUGAGUAUAUUUUACCUUAGAAUUAUUGAUAAAGGUUUGCAUGCUUUUAUUUACUACAUUAUGUAAGCUAAAAAAACAACCUUUUAAAACUUGUGCUUGGGCUAUGUUGUAAAACAUACAGCUUCUUCACAAAAAGUAUUAGUGUUACUCAUAUAAGAUUUAUUUAUACCUAAUACUUAUUAAAUUAGGUAUGUGUGUAAAACUAUUUUUUUACUAGGAUUUCUGAUGCACUGGUUAAAAACACAGCAGCCAAUAAUUCAGUUAAUUUACCAAGUGAUUUACCCUUCAAAGCUACAGGGGUAGCUUUCCUGAAGAGUGCAAAAACUUCUUUAGCUUUCAAAAUGGUAUAUAGUACAAACAGUGAAGCUAAUAUAGACACAUCUGAUCAUUCAUCAUCAACAAUAACUGCAUCUGAGAAUUAUAGUUCUACAGUAACCGUGGAGUCUAGGUCAACAAUUACUAUUUCUCAUCCAAGCCGUUUUUGUUUAACUGCUACACAUUUCCUGACUCUGCCAAGGAAAAGGGUAAAAUCAAAAUGAUAUCCUGAGGACCUAAGCACUGAUGAUUCCACCGUUUCAAGAACUUAAUCACUUGUCACCAGAUUAUGGAAAAAAAAUAAAGAACAAAAAAUUAAAAUUCGAAGAUUGCAACAAGCAAAUUUGCGCCAAAGAAAUUAAAUUAGAUGUCUCAAGUCAUUAUUAAAAUACUUACAUGAAAUAAUAACAUGAUUUUAUGGAAAAGCCCAACAUACUACAUAUUUUAUUUGACUUGUAAAAGCACUUGUUUGUAUAUUACUACUAAUAAACUCUCUAAUCUAAUCUAUUGUACAUAGUCUUUAUUCUUAGCUUUGUUUUUUAGUAUAAAUUAAUAUGAUAUAAUAUUUGGUAUUAGGUAUUAUAUAGGUCACUAUUAAAUGUCUCAAAACCAUUAUACAGGCUAAAUACUCAUAAUAAAAAUCUUAUAACCUACAAAAAACCUGCAACUCCUUCACUAUUUGAACAUCCUUGUAGUUUUAACUUUUUCCGCUGAAGCAAUACUGUCCCUUUGAAAAAGUCAGCAGCAUAGAAGUAUAUAUUAUGUGAUGUAAGUAAGUGAUGUAAAACUGAGUUUUGUCCAAUAUAACAAUAACAAUAAAAUUUUGCAAAAUGUUAAAAAUUUGUGUCUUAAAACAUGAUUUAUUAA
RNAcentral lists this long non-coding RNA (1213 nucleotides) under Anthonomus grandis grandis. RNAcentral describes it as "uncharacterized LOC126739065". The record is from RNAcentral. Lineage: Eukaryota; Metazoa; Arthropoda; Insecta; Coleoptera; Curculionidae.